Molecule: ribosomal RNA, 451 nt
Filed under: uncultured bacterium
Lineage: Bacteria
Description: partial 16S ribosomal RNA
Rfam family: Bacterial small subunit ribosomal RNA
Source: RNAcentral
GAUGAACGCUGGCGGCGUGCCUAACACAUGCAAGUCGAGCGGCAGCGAGGGGUGCUUGCACCCUGUCGGCGAGCGGCGGACGGCUGAGUAACGCGUGGGAACGUGCCCCAAAGUGAGGAAUAACUGCCCGAAAGGGUAGCUAAUACCGCAUAUUAUCUUCGGAUCAAAGGAUUUAUCCGCUUUGGGAGCGGCUCGCGUCGGAUUAGGUAGUUGGUGAGGUAAUGGCUCACCAAGCCGACGAUCCGUAGCUGGUCUGAGAGGAUGACAAGCCAGACUGGAACUGAGACACGGUCCAGACUCCUACGGGAGGCAGCAGUGAGGAAUCUUCCACAAGGGGCGAAAGCCUGAUGGAGCAACGCCGCGUGCAGGACGAAGGCGUUCGGGUUGUAAACUGCUUUUAUAAGUGAGGAAUAUGACGGUAACUGAUGAAUAAGGAUCGGCUAACUACGUG